Molecule: ribosomal RNA, 515 nt
Filed under: Dentiscutata heterogama
Lineage: Eukaryota; Fungi; Glomeromycota; Glomeromycetes; Diversisporales; Gigasporaceae
Description: SSU rRNA
Source: RNAcentral
AAUCGUCUAUCAGCUCAUAGCGUAUAUUAAAGUUGUUGCAGUUAAAAAGCUCGUAGUUGAAUUUCGGGGUUCCACCGUUGGUCGGGCUAUUGUYUGUACUGGCGUGUGGAAUUUCUACCUUCUGGGGAACUAUCAUGUUAUUAAUUUAGCGUGGUAGGAAACCAGGACCUUUACCUUGAAAAAAUUAGAGUGUUCAAAGCAGGCUUAUGUCUGAAUACAUUAGCAUGGAAUAAUAAAAUAGGACGGUGGUCCUGUUUUGUUGGUUUCUGAAUCACCGUAAUGAUUAAUAGGGAUAGUUGGGGGCAUUAGUAUUCAAUUGUCAGAGGUGAAAUUCUUGGAUUUAUUGAAGACUAACUACUGCGAAAGCAUUUGCCAAGGAUGUUUUCAUUAAUCAAGAACGAAAGUUAGGGGAUCGAAGACGAUCAGAUACCGUCGUAGUCUUAACCAUAAACUAUGCCGACUAGGGAUCGGACGAUGUUAACUUUUCUUGACUCGUUCGGCSCWAGGRRAAAAMA